This is a long non-coding RNA of Ostrea edulis (European flat oyster), 4417 nucleotides long. RefSeq lists it as uncharacterized. The transcript is spliced from 2 exons. NCBI's taxonomy places the organism in Eukaryota, Metazoa, Mollusca, Bivalvia, Ostreida, Ostreidae. The record is from RefSeq and is a predicted model, not a curated record.
UUCUGGUGUCACACGCGUGGUUUACACGUGCACUUUAGGUGGCAGUGGAGGAAAUUCGAAUGAUGUCUGGAUUAUUGUCUCCUGGUAACUUUGGCAGUUAACUUUUGCUUUCAAUCUACUUUUUAAGAAUAAUACAACCCUCGCUAAUCAUUGCCAAGCUCCAUUUCGAUCUUGGAAGAAUGAUCUUCAGCUACAAUUCAAAAUUAAGGGAUGAUGUUGUGUACUUAAUUUUUCUCGAUUGUUUAUAUCUGUGACUGUUUAUGUGAUGUAUCAACUGAUCAAGCUGUACAGUGUCAUGCCAUAGAGUGGGAUAACUUCCAUUUAUGUGCUUGCGCAUCAUUUUGUCAGAAGAAGAAAAUUCUAAAAUGAUAAUUACGAUUUUUAACAUGUAUAUGAUUAUAUGUGUAUGUUUGAUUUUAGUAUAAUACUUGUAGAAAAUAUUUCAGUAAUAUGAAGUGUCACACAUUUAGACGCAUGCAUGUGGUGUUUAAAGGUCUCAUCAGAAAGACCAGCAACUUUCUCUUUUGAAUGCUAAAUAUGACGAUGGAGCAUUCACCUCACUACCUACAUUUUCACCCUAAAUAAAGUACAAGCAUGGCUCGAAACCAUGAUUUCUUGAUCCUGUUACCACUGAGCUACCAUGACCAAUUUUUUAACAUGAAUUCAUAGGUAAAAAUUAUUAAAAUCUAUAACUAAUUUUUUUGGUUAAUUCCAUAAAUAUUAUUCCUCUCUCUCGACACAAUUCUGGGUAACCCCCCUGCCUUUGGGGGUAUAAGCACCUCAUUUCUUUCAGAAUGGGACAAUGUCAGGAGAGCUUUUGUUAUUUGUUAUACUCUUAGUGUUGAUCGUAUCUAUGAACAACAGGAUAAUGUUUUUAGAUUAUUAUUUCUGAUAUCAUAUUUGUAAAUUGUUUAUGAGGGGUUGUUAAAAGUUUGUGGACAAAAGGACACACUUAUUAAAAAUUGAAAGUUAUCGUAAGUGAAAAACAUAGAUGUGUAACAAGAUUAAAAGAUUGUAGAUUUGAACAUUUUAAUUUUAACUAAUUUUUAUAAGUAUUGAUUUCAGAUACAUGUAUGACAUUGCAUGAUUGAUCGGGGGGGGGGGGGGGGGGCUACAGUUAGAUAAUAUUCUGGUCAGCACAUUCAAUAAACUACAUGGAACUCAUUAAAUAACUUCUUAUUCUUUCAGUGGUCUUCAACUUUUAAUCUCCAAGAAGGAAAUGUAAUUAAAAGAUGAAUAAAGUAUCCCUAAGAAUACCAGAAGAAAGGCUAUGUGUUGAGAAAAACAGCCCUUCCUCAGUACCUCAGAACUAGAUGAUAGCCCUUGUUACUUUAUGCUGAAUAUGACACAGUAUAGAAGAUCUGAUCAUGAGGAAGUUACACCACUUGCCAACUGCCAAAAUUACUUUCUGAUAAUACGACGAGAUUAGAAGAUAUAAUGGUGUAGUCAUGACACAAACUGCAAAUCAAAGAAUUAAUUGUCUUCCCCAGAGGAUGAACAGAGCACAAUGGCUUCACAUGGAUAACAUUUCCUUUCGAGUUUUGAAAUUAAUUUGUCAGAAUGUUAUGCAUCAUAAUCAACAGAAAAGAACUUCACAGGUAGACCAAAGCUGACAUGGGAUGAGAUACUAAAACGAGACCUAGAGUUUACGGGAUUGGAUAGGAUCAAUCCACUGGGUCGCCAAGUGUGGAAGUACAAACUUCAACCUCGACAGGACAGCCAGGCCUCACCCUUGUAAAAAAGAUUAAUUUGGCUGGAUAGUCAAAAUGAGUGAUGAUGAUGAUAUCAAGGUCUGACACUGGAAGCUCAGAAAGGGUAGAUGCUGGCAAUGGAGCUGUUUAGCAAUACAACAAACAGGUUUAACAUUGAACAUGUUUAUAUACUUUUUUAGCUCACCUGAGCCAAAGGCUCAAGUGAGCUUUUCUGAUCACCUUUGCCUGCACGACGUGUCGUCCGUCUGUCUGUAAACAUUUCACAUUUUCAUUUUCUUCUCCAGAGUGAACCACUGGGCCAGUUUCAAUCAAACUUGGUAGGCAUCAUCAAUAGAUAAAUGGUAUUCAAGCUUGUUCAUAUAAAGAGUCACACACCCUUCAAAAAGGAAUAAUCAUGGCAAUGCAAAAAUAGGGUGGGGUCAUUUAAAAAACCUUUUCAAGAACCACUGGAUCAGGAAAGUUGAAUUCACAUAAAAGGUUCCUGUUUUGUGCAAAUCAUGGUCUCUGGGGGUAGGGUGAGGUCAAAAUAGAGGAUCAAAGUUUUACACUCAUAUAUAGUACAGAUUCAAGUUUGUUAAAAGUAAUCGCUCACAGGGGUAGAGUGGGGUCACAAUAGGGGAUCUAAGUUUUACAUGUGAAAUAUAUGCAAGGAAAAUCUUUUAAAAAUCUUCUCCUCAAAAACUAGAUGCAGAAUUGUAGCUCUUUGAGAAGGUAUUGGGGCAAGUCAGAGAGCUUCAGAUGAACCCCUUAUAAAAAAUCUUCAAUUUACGGCACAGAAAAAAAGUGCAUGGUUAAGUCCCUCUAUCACUGCAUUCCUGCAUCGCUGUCUCAUGAAUUUAAUAUUAAACAAUUCCUAACAUAUAUUUCCACUAUACUUGUUUCCAAACAUACUUUCAAAUAUUCCCUAAACCCUUAUAUAACCCCAAAACUCGCAGCUUCAAGUGAUUUUCUUUGUUGAUGUAGCCAUGUUGGGUAGCCAGUCAAUUUGAACCCCAGUUCAUUUCCAUACUCAUACUCAGUUUGAAACAUAAUGUCUGUGUGAACUAAUAUCCUCAAAAAUAUUUUUAGUGAAAUAUUUUCGAUGAAAUCAUCCCACUUGGGUUAAAUACUUAUUAUUCAAAUACUGUAUGUUUGAAUAUUGAACUAAUCUCACAGCUUUCUUAAGUUUGGUCCCCAUCCCUGCCAGUCUGUUUUUACGCUUAACUAUUGAAAUUGAUUGUAAGGAAUUAGACUAGGCUUUUAUAGCAUUAUAAAUUUUCAAAAGCUUUAGAAAAAUUAUACAAUUUUAGGUCACUUGAGUAAACUCAGAUGACAUAUUGCUAUUGGUCUACGUCUGUUGUAGUCCGUCGAAGUUAACAAUUGAACAUUUUUAACUAAAUUCUAUAACUGAAAGGUGAAGAUAACAAACAGCGAUCAAUUUACGAUUCGAGUAACGGAAUUCUUUUCAAAUUUAGUAUGAAGCACACAAAUUUACAUUAAACCUUCCUGACAUAGUGCAUAUUCAAGUUUGUUAAAAUCAUUUCCCCGGGAGGUAUGGUGUGGUAACAAUAGGGGAUCAAAGUUUUAUAUGCUGAUAUAUUUAAAGGAAAAAUCUUUAAAGAUAUCUCUGGAACUAUUUAAGCUAGGGCUUUCAUAUCUUGUAUAUACAAUUUUUAUGGCAAACCAAAUCUGACCUAUUCAGUAUGUCCUGAACUACAUUGUGUUUAAGGUAGAUCUUUCAUAUAUAUUAUAUAUUAUGAAUUUCUUAUGAUAAAACCUUUCAUCUUGUUGAGGGGCCUCUCAACUCUGGUUGGUGCAGGUUUGAAUCCUGCUCGCACCGGUAAGUGAGAAAGUUUCCCAGUUUACUUUCGGAAGGUCGGUGGUCUCUUCCCAGGUACAUUGUAUCUGGGUUCUCUCUUCCACCAAUAAAGACUGGGCACCACCAGAUAACUGAAAAAUUGUUGAGUGUGGUGGAAAACAGCUAAAACAAUCAAUCAUAUUAUGUUUUUUGACCUUGUGACCCUGAACUCUGAGUUUGACCUACUUUUCAGAAAGUAUAACCUAUUACGUAUAUCCAGGACUAUUUUAGAUCGGGCUUUCAUGUUUUGUAUAUAGAUUACUUAUGGCAAGGUCUUUCAUAUCAUACCAAGACCUAUGACUUUUUACCUUGGUCUUAUCCAGAACAGUAAUAUCAUGCUAGUCAUAUCUUUGUGUUAUAUGAAUUCAUUUUAGUAAUGUUGUGUUCUUUAGGGCUAGGUUUGGGUCACAUUAUUCAUGAGAGUAAAGAUUGAUAAAAUAACAUUUAAAAAUCACAACAGCAGGGCCAAGGUGACUGAGGUGAGCGAUGUGGCCCAUGGGCCUCUUGUUGAUUUUGAUAUUUGUACAUAUAUCAUUUGUAUAAGAAAUGGAACUCUCUUUUUUUCUUUUACAAAUACAUGUAUUAUCAUAUGGAUCCAUCUUUGUUGAUUAUUUAAUCAAAGGACUACAUUCAAUUCAUCCAAUGUAUUAAAUGUAAAUUUAUUGAUAUGUCUGUGGUUGAAUUACUCAUGUAUGUAUACAUUUUUCUCGCACAUGCAAUUACAUAUAUGAUGUAUAUAUAUUUACUAAUUGUACAUAUAAUAUCCCCUGUAAUAUAAUAAAAUAUAUGACUGAGAAUAAAAGACCUGCUGUUUUCAUUGCUACCAUGAAACAUUAAAAUAUUAGAAUAAUUCAAAUAUCUUAAUGAA